Molecule: ribosomal RNA, 126 nt
Filed under: Paenibacillus piri
Lineage: Bacteria; Bacillati; Bacillota; Bacilli; Caryophanales; Paenibacillaceae
Description: Paenibacillus sp. MS74 partial 16S ribosomal RNA
Rfam family: Bacterial small subunit ribosomal RNA
Source: RNAcentral
UGGAGAGUUUGAUCCUGGCUCAGGACGAACGCUGGCGGCGUGCCUAAUACAUGCAAGUCGAGCGGACUGUUCCUUCGGGGACAGUUAGCGGCGGACGGGUGAGUAACACGUAGGCAACCUGCCUGU